This 479-nucleotide unclassified non-coding RNA is filed under the name Hevea brasiliensis (rubber tree). Lineage: Eukaryota; Viridiplantae; Streptophyta; Magnoliopsida; Malpighiales; Euphorbiaceae. The record is from RNAcentral.
CAUCGUGCAUACACAUGCCCCCAUUUAUGAAUUCUAAUUGACCAGAGUUGACAAGCUCCUUGACUUUAGCCUUCAUUGCUUCACUUUGCUGUCUCCACCAUCUCUGGANNAUCUCAACAUAGAUGAACUUGCGAUUCUUAUCUUCGAACAAAGCAGACAUUACUGAGUCCAAUACAUUCUGCACACAGGCUCCCCGAAUCGAAUUGUUGCCACCAAAAUAGUACUGAUCAACAGUCUUCAACCAUCCAACAUCAUCAUGAGAGUGAGGCACCAAAUGAACGUUGACUUUGCCAGGGACUAUUCUCCCAGUGGUGUUGUAAUCUAUGUACUGAGAUUCCACGCAGAAAAUCCCAGCCAAAUAGAUUGUUAAAUAGUAGUAGAAAGCAAUAAUCGCCAUGGUUAUAGCAGGAUGGAACUUGAGAGUGGAGAGAGGGAAGUGAUGAUCAUAUGUUGAUGAACUAUGAAAUUGGCAAGUGGGU